AAUAGUAGCAAUGCACUAAUUAAUUUUACUUUAAACAUUGACACAUACGUUUAUUAAAUAAAAUUUAUCAUUUUAUCAUAAAACGCAAAAUUGUGAAAGUAUCAUGGAGAUUAGUACUCAAAUUAUUAUAUUUUACAUCAAGAAGAUAAAGUAAUGUGGGAUACAGAAAAAAAUUCUCUAUUAAAGUCAAGCUUAAUAUAAUUACAUUAUUGUGACAAUGUUUGCAAUAAAUGGCAAAAUGUUAUUCAAUUUUUUUUCUAGUGUAUAAGAUAUUAUUUCUGUAAUUAUUCUGAACAACUAUAUAGCAACAAUAAUAUUACAUUAUCUAUAGAUGAUAUUAAGAAUUGCUGCUCCGCUUAAUUAUCAAAUUAUCUUAAUGAUUAAAUUGAUGAUAAUUUUUAAGAAAGUCGCCAUUAACACUUAGCGUAACAUUUUUGUGGUUAAAUCGUGUGUAACAGCUUAAAAUUAAUAUGUAACAAGACUAUAUUUUGCACCUUCUAGAAUGAUUAUUGAAUACGUUUUAAUAAAAAUCCAUAAAUAAUGGAAUAUGUUGCGGUCAAAGUCCACAAGUUUUCUAUUACUGACAUACAAGAGACAAUUUUACUUCCUGAUUUACGUGACGAAAAGUAGGAAGAACAUAUGCUUUCACUUUUUCUCGUAUAAUCAUAUGUAACAUAAUGCUAAUUACUAGUGUGAAGGAUGUUAACAGAUUAUUCACUUCCUUUUUAGCAGGCUAAAUGUUAAUACGGGAUCGUCGUAAUGUGACACUUAACAUGAAUAAAAUGUUCAUCGCAUUUUUUUACAUUUUGUUCUUCAAUUUCGUUCGAUGCUGAAUGCUGGUGUCGGGCGUAUCUGUCACGAUCUGUCAAGUAAAAAGCGCGAUAUCUUCUCGAUAUCUUUGAUAUCGACUACGCAGAAAUGUGCUUCAGUACCUGUCUAAAAUAUUUGCUGAUAAAUACUAAAUAGAAUGCGUUAUAUUUGUAAGCCAUUUAACAAAAAGGUUAAUGUAAAUUAUUCAAAAUUGAUUUAUAACUCGUAAUUCAUUGACAAAAAUAAAAAGAGAAAAUAUUAUUAAAAAUAUAUAAACGUACAUAAUCACAAGAUCUAAUUAAUAGUAACAAAUUCUUUAAUGCGAUUCUUUACCAUAUAGAAGAAUGAGCGCUUUAUUUUCCGUUUGAGUUAUUAAAAUUAAUGUAGUUAUAUACUACUUGGGACAUCGAAUCACUAUUCUCUACGACGACACCGUCGUUUCGAUAGUUAAUGUGUAUCAAUAUUUUACGUAUUCCGCAUAAGCAGCGCGGUAGGUAUUUGCGUUUAUUAGCUAUAAACCCUCUGCAGGUGGGGCUCGUCGCUGCGGGACGGAUUUAUGGACCGUGCACUUUCCGAGAAAAUGACGGUCCGUAGACGAAGCUUUGUACAUUAUGUGUUGUUGUGGAAAAGUGCUGAAUGUGCAUCAAUAUUCGACAAUGUACGUUGAUAUUGAUGGUAUUUACAAUUAAUGAAAUAAUUGUUGGAAAUUUAUCUUGUAUUAUAAAAUGUUCAGUUAACUCAGAAAAUUUAUUAAAAAAAAUACAAAAUAAUUAAAAUUAAUCACUUUAUAUCAGAUCACGAAAAUUAGUUCUUCAGAUCAAAUAUAAAAGCAGCAUAAUUUCAAGUUUAAUUUGGGUUUCUAAAAUUUCAUCAUUGUUCUUUAUCUCAAAUUUCCUUUUUCAAAAGUCUUCCUUUUUUUAAUUUUGCCUUCCAAGAUAGAAAUAUUCUUUAAACGUUUCAGCAAAAUAUUUGGAACAUGCUUCAUUCUUCUUAAUUGAAUUUAGACGGAAUGCUCAGGUGGGUCUUUCUAUUGUACGUCAGACCAGGUGAUGCAACUCCACUCUAUCUCGUUAUUUCUGAUGCUAUAUUCCGCUACCUCGUUAAUUUACACGCGACUAAAUGAAAGGUGUAUUUGGACAUGCGACAGCGUAAUAUUAAGAUAGUAUAUACAUUUGUGUAACAAGGUAUAAUUCAUGAAUAUAUAUUUACGAAGAAAUAAUACUAAGAUCUCUGAUUAAAUCUAUAAGGUUGUACUUAUUCUGUUUAAAAAAAAAUUAAAAAGCGAGAGACUUUUUUAAUAAAUACAAUUUAUCUUUUGUGUAGUCAAGUUUUUUUUUACAUCUAUUAUACGGAAACAAUAUACCAAUCUUGUUAUUUUAAAAAUAAAUUUGUUAUUACAUUGCAUAUAAUAUACAUAUCUGCCAUGGAAUGUUAAGAAAUAAAAUAACUUCGUAUUUAGGAUCGCAAAUAUAUGUCUAAUAUCAGUUUACUUGAAGCGACAGCAAUGCGUCUCCCUCGCCAAAUUUGAUACAUGCGGCUAAAAUUGACAUUGUAUGCGCACAACGUUCAUACAGGAUGCAGAAAAGAUCGUUCAUCAUUUCGCAUAGCAUGCAGUCGGAUAUAGAGAACAUGGAAAACGUCAUAGGAAGUGGAUUCUGAGAAUACUUUCAAACUAUUUUCUUCGCGACGUUAUAGCAAAAACGUAAAGUACGGUUGCUUUCGGCACAAUUGAUCGUUGUGCAACGUAAGUUCUCUUGUACGCAUAAAUAUGAUAGCGAUAUGGAAAUUUUACUUAAUGCUAGAGAGAUGGAAACUUUUAAGAAUCCCAUUUAUCAAAGUUUCGCGACGGUUGCAAGUCCGCGGUAAAUUUUAUUUUGGAAAACUUUAUUUUAAAGAAUCGAGCAUGCAUGUAACGCGCUCGAAAGACUGGUCUAUGUCGAUUGUUGCAGAUAUUAUAGACAUUUUUAUCAUUCUCAGUCUCCCAUUAAAAUUUAUAUGUUUAAACAGUUUUUACAACAGUUCAGUGUAAAUUUUAUUUGUAUAAAGUUGAUUACGAUGUUUGUAACAAAAUUGUUGUUUAUUAUUGUUCUAUGUGGAUGUUUUCUCUAAAUAUGCUCUCUCUUUUCCAAUAUAUUUAUAUAUUUUGAAUAAAUAUUGAGAAGUUCACGACGCUGCUGUUAUUUGAAAGUUUACGAGAGGUACUUGAACCAUCCAAGACACACGUACACUCACACAUACAUACGCCACGAUUGCCUCUAGCAUGCGUAUGUAUAUCGAUAUUCUCGUUCUGCCGAAUGUUCGACAUGCCCCACGGAUAUGAGGGGCUCGCGUACGUUCGCAUCGACAUACUAACUAAGCGGGAUUGCAGUUAAACAGACGUUGCACGUAUUUGCGACGUGUGGUGUAAAGUCCGUUUCCGUAAUUCGAAUUAAUAGAACUGUGCACCACCGUCGUCGCCUUCAUCAUCACUAUCAUCGUCACCGCUGCCAGCCUCCAAGUUAAAGGCAGCCUAUUCCCGGGAACCUCUCGGCGCAUUCGAGCAAACGAGCCGCGACAGUCGAGCGAAAUGCAAUUUCGAGGACGAGCGGCGGUAUGCCGGGGUUUGAAGACAGAACAGGAAGGGGGAUGGUUUAAGAAGAAGGAGAUGAGAAGGAGUGAGGAUCAGCGUGUCGUUUCGAGAGCUGCUCGAUACAUAGUACGUGAGGUAACCGUGACGGACAGAAAAGAAAAGAGAGGAUAUGUCUCCAAUUUCCUAAGUAACUUCUGUUCUUCUGCGGAUACCAAGUCCGCUGCAUUUUCGUGUAGAUGUACGCUCGUAAGGAAAAAACAAGGACUGGGCUUAUUGUCACGUGUGCAUACGUACGCACGAUAUAUCUAUGAUAUACCUAUUCGUGAUCAUCCACUGUAAAUAUAGAAUGAAUAAAAUAGGAGAAAGUACUGUAUUAUAGUAAUUUUAAUAUAAAAGAAUCCAAUGAGAGAGGGAGAGAGAGAGAGAGAGAGAGAGAGAGAGAGAGAGAGAGAGAGAGAGAGAGAGAGAGAGAGAGAGAGAAAAGGAGGGAGGAAGGGAGGGAGAGAGAGAUCCUAUGAAUGACUGCCAUUGACCAUCUACAAGUAUAGUGUAUUAUAAACAGUAAUUAUGUAAAAACUAUCUUUAGAUUCUUAUAUAUUUUUAGUUUUUAACAUAUUAUAUAUACUAUAUAUAUAUAUAUACAUAUAUGUUUUUCUUUGUUGGAGAUAUGUAUACUUCGGGCACGUAGAAAGUCAAACUGGCUAGCAAAUUGAGAGUUCGUGCCACGGUUUUGGCGAAUUUCCAAGAAGGCAAGACUUUUCCUUGUUCGUUUCGUGAGCGACAAUCGUCGUCCGAAUUAUCUGUGGGUGUCAGUGUAGAAGGUUCGAUCGUUAGUGAAAAAUACGAUUACGAAAUAAAGAAAUAAACAUUUUUUAAUUGUU
Molecule: long non-coding RNA, 4260 nt
Filed under: Monomorium pharaonis (pharaoh ant)
Lineage: Eukaryota; Metazoa; Arthropoda; Insecta; Hymenoptera; Formicidae
Description: uncharacterized LOC118648917
Source: RNAcentral